GUGUGUGUGGGCGUCUCAUUAGUAGUCACGACUGUGGCUCCAUUUCUCUCUCGGGCGCGCACACAUGCACACACGCACAUGCACACGGUGGAGUUCCACACCACUCAGGCCCAGGGCUACACUCAAGUGUUUUAUGGUUAAAGCACACCAUGCACUAUUUAACCAGAACACUUGUGUGGAAGAUAACGGAAGCGUGGCCGCGGUGUAGGUUACUAAAAUAGGCAUGGCCUCUGUGUAAGCUAAUAGUGGGGGCGUGGCUUCUCCAUAUUGCUAAUUAUAGUGGCGUUAGCUAUGCGUGUCCUAAUGGUGGAGGCGCGGCCUCCGUGUUUCCUGGAAUGAAGUGACCCUGGAAUGAAAGAAAGAAAGAAAGAAAGAAAGAAAGAAAGACGUUCAGUCUUGCAGAGGUAUAAAUAAGGAGAAGUGUAGAGAGAAAGCGGAACAAAGAGAGAUAAGGGUAUGGAGAGAGUGCCGGGGUGUGGACGUCUCAUCGUCUCAUGUGUCAUAGUCAUGGCUGGGAGAUUUACAGAGAUAAGAGAGGAAGAAGAGGGCAAAAACAAUGAGGACAAGAGAAUAUUUCAUAUAUAAGGCGGCAAAGAUGAUGAACACGAGAAAUGCAUAAACGGAAAAGAAAAUGGAAGAAGUCCUAACACGCUGCCCUGAGACACUCCACUCAUCACAGAGCCAAACCAGCAUUCAUCACCCAACGGGACCGAGCUCAAUGCAAAACCACAACCAUGGAGACCUCCAGAGUAUCAGUAUCUGAAUGGUCAAUGAAGGACGAGUGUUUUUGGAGGGUUUUUUUGUUCAUCUUGUCUUACCUUGACCCCUGGAGCGACCCCAUCUUCAGCUGUGCUUUGUCCAUUCUGGGGGGAAAAAGAAAGACAUUUUUCAGAAUACCGGUGUUUAUAAUUGCUGACAUAAAAGGUGUGUUCGGCAUGCAGACACAUGUCUAAUCAUCACUAGUAGCACAGCAGGAUCCCCUCCCCUCCCCCCAGCUCAGCCCAAUUCCUCUGUAACGUCCAUAUUGUAUUGUAUAAUAAAGAAAAAUAUUACAAUGUGCAUAAAACUGUUUGCUCCACCUCGUCCACCUGCGCCACUGAAAAAAGAAACCGGUUUAGAAGA
Long non-coding RNA from Ictalurus furcatus (blue catfish), 1122 nucleotides. RefSeq lists it as uncharacterized. The record is from RefSeq and is a predicted model, not a curated record. NCBI's taxonomy places the organism in Eukaryota, Metazoa, Chordata, Actinopteri, Siluriformes, Ictaluridae. The transcript has 3 exons.